GGCGGCGUGCCUAACACAUGCAAGUCGUACGAGAAAGUCCCGUUCGCGGGAUGAGUAAAGUGGCGCACGGGUGAGUAAUGCGUGGAUAAUCUGCCCUUUAGUUGGGAAUAACGUGCCGAAAGGUGCGCUAAUACCCGAUAAUACUGCACAACUACUGUUGUGUAGUCAAAGAAGGCCUCUGUUUACAAGCUUUUGCUGAAGGAUGAGUCCGCGUACCAUUAGCUGGUUGGUGGGGUAAUGGCCUACCAAGGCUACGAUGGUUAGCUGGUCUGAGAGGAUGAUCAGCCACACUGGAACUGAGACACGGUCCAGACUCCUACGGGAGGCAGCAGUGAGGAAUAUUGCGCAAUGGGGGCAACCCUGACGCAGCAACGCCGCGUGAGUGAGGAAGGUUUUCGGACCGUAAAGCUCUGUCGAGCGGGAAGAAAUGCAUGGUGGCUAAUAUCCAUCAUGCUUGACGGUACCGCUAAAGGAAGCACCGGCUAACUCCGUG
Molecule: ribosomal RNA, 493 nt
Filed under: uncultured bacterium
Lineage: Bacteria
Description: bacterial SSU rRNA
Rfam family: Bacterial small subunit ribosomal RNA
Source: RNAcentral